Molecule: ribosomal RNA, 439 nt
Filed under: uncultured bacterium
Lineage: Bacteria
Description: partial 16S ribosomal RNA
Rfam family: Bacterial small subunit ribosomal RNA
Source: RNAcentral
CUACGGGUUGCACCAGUGGGGAAUAUUGCACAAUGGAGGAAACUCUGAUGCAGCAACGCCGCGUGGAGGAUGACACUUUUCGGAGCGUAAACUCCUUUUAUAUAGGAAGAAGAUGACGGUACUAUAUGAAUAAGCGCCGGCUAACUCCGUGCCAGCAGCCGCGGUAAUACGGAGGGCGCAAGCGUUACUCGGAAUCACUGGGCGUAAAGAGCGCGUAGGCGGAUUAAAAAGUCAGGAGUGAAAUCCUAUAGCUUAACUAUAGAACUGCUUCUGAAACUCUUAAUCUAGAAUAUGGGAGAGGUAGAUGGAAUUUCUGGUGUAGGGGUAAAAUCCGUAGAGAUCAGAAGGAAUACCGAUUGCGAAGGCGAUCUACUAGAACAUUAUUGACGCUGAGACGCGAAAGCGUGGGGAGCAAACAGGAUUAGAUACCCUCGUAGUC